Molecule: unclassified non-coding RNA, 357 nt
Filed under: soil metagenome
Description: partial contains 5.8S ribosomal RNA, internal transcribed spacer 2, and large subunit ribosomal RNA
Rfam family: 5.8S ribosomal RNA (bases 1-120)
Source: RNAcentral
GAUGAAGAACGUAGCGAAAUGCGAUAAGUAAUGUGAAUUGCAGAAUUCAGUGAAUCAUCGAAUCUUUGAACGCACAUUGCGCCCGCUGGUAUUCCGGCGGGCAUGCCUGUUCGAGCGUCAUUUCAACCCUCAAGCUCUCCGGAGUUUGGUGUUGGGGCGCCUGGGGCUUUUCGACCUCAGGGCCCUCAAGUCCAUCGGCGGGACCGCCAGGACACUGAGCGCAGUAGUAUUAUUUCGCUCGGUAGGAUCUUCCACGGCGGGUCGAUCUGGCCGCUAAACCCCCCAAUUCUCUCCAAAGGUUGACCUCGGAUCAGGUAGGAAUACCCGCUGAACUUAAGCAUAUCAAUAAGCGGAGGA